AAGCAGCCUAUUUGCUGACUUCUACACAGGCUGGCCUGCAAGCAUUUCCUCUCGGGAUUGCCUGAAGCUGCCACCAUGAGCUCACACACCAUUCCUUCCGUCACCACCAACUCUUUUCCAAACACACAGUGGAGUGACAGCCCGCCCGGGUGUGGGCUGCUCCCCAGGGAGAAAAUAAUAGGAUGCAACCUUUUGAGGUGGAACUUUUGGGGCAUGUGACAGCUCACGAUGAACCAGAAGACAGUAGUAUUCACCCAGCGUGGGGCCCACACAAGAAAGGGGACCUUUGGGAAGUGCAAAGGAAGACCAGGUGGUGUGCCACAGGGACCUAAUUCGCAGAGUAUUCCCAGGAGAGGAUGAGGCACCGUGGAAUUAGAAAUGAUACAGAUUUUGAACAUCAGAAAGGUUGUUUCAGCAACUCCCGGCACAGAUAAAGCCCACUCUGGUGUCUAGAGAAGAAAAAGUUUGAGUCCUCUUCAAGGCUGUUUCCUAACAACAUAAAGAGAUCAUCCUGUAAAUUGAAUGUUAUUUUAUUUCCUGUUACGUUAUAUUCUAAAGCAAAUGGUUCUUAGUGUUAAACUGACUGUUCGAAUCAUAAUUUUAUCUCACUAUCAAUUGUUUAAAAACACUAGUGAAUUAGCCAUAACGUGUUCUCAGCUUGACAAAUAAAGCUCAUGCUCUCAAAAAUAA
Long non-coding RNA from Canis lupus familiaris (dog), 690 nucleotides. RefSeq lists it as uncharacterized. Lineage: Eukaryota; Metazoa; Chordata; Mammalia; Carnivora; Canidae. The record is from RefSeq and is a predicted model, not a curated record. The transcript is spliced from 3 exons.